UGUGGGUGGAUUAGUGGCGAACGGGUGAGUAACACGUGAGUAACCUGCCCUUAACUCUGGGAUAAGCCUGGGAAACUGGGUCUAAUACCGGAUAUGACUCCUCAUCGCAUGGUGGGGGGUGGAAAGCUUUAUUGUGGUUUUGGAUGGACUCGCGGCCUAUCAGCUUGUUGGUGAGGUAAUGGCUCACCAAGGCGACGACGGGUAGCCGGCCUGAGAGGGUGACCGGCCACACUGGGACUGAGACACGGCCCAGACUCCUACGGGAGGCAGCAGUGGGGAAUAUUGCACAAUGGGCGAAAGCCUGAUGCAGCGACGCCGCGUGAGGGAUGACGGCCUUCGGGUUGUAAACCUCUUUCAGUAGGGAAGAAGCGAAAGUGACGGUACCUGCAGAAGAAGCGCCGGCUAACUACGUGCCAGCAGCCGCGGUAAUACGUAGGGCGCAAGCGUUAUCCGGAAUUAUUGGGCGUAAAGAGCUCGUAGGCGGUUUGUCGCGUCUGCCGUGAAAGUCCGGGGCUCAACUCCGGAUCUGCGGUGGGUACGGGCAGACUAGAGUGAUGUAGGGGAGACUGGAAUUCCUGGUGUAGCGGUGAAAUGCGCAGAUAUCAGGAGGAACACCGAUGGCGAAGGCAGGUCUCUGGGCAUUAACUGACGCUGAGGAGCGAAAGCAUGGGGAGCGAACAGGAUUAGAUACCCUGGUAGUCCAUGCCGUAAACGUUGGGCACUAGGUGUGGGGGACAUUCCACGUUUUCCGCGCCGUAGCUAACGCAUUAAGUGCCCCGCCUGGGGAGUACGGCCGCAAGGCUAAAACUCAAAGGAAUUGACGGGGGCCCGCACAAGCGGCGGAGCAUGCGGAUUAAUUCGAUGCAACGCGAAGAACCUUACCAAGGCUUGACAUGAACCGGAAAUACCUGGAAACAGGUGCCCCGCUUGCGGUCGGUUUACAGGUGGUGCAUGGUUGUCGUCAGCUCGUGUCGUGAGAUGUUGGGUUAAGUCCCGCAACGAGCGCAACCCUCGUUCUAUGUUGCCAGCGCGUUAUGGCGGGGACUCAUAGGAGACUGCCGGGGUCAACUCGGAGGAAGGUGGGGACGACGUCAAAUCAUCAUGCCCCUUAUGUCUUGGGCUUCACGCAUGCUACAAUGGCCGGUACAAAGGGUUGCGAUACUGUGAGGUGGAGCUAAUCCCAAAAAGCCGGUCUCAGUUCGGAUUGGGGUCUGCAACUCGACCCCAUGAAGUCGGAGUCGCUAGUAAUCGCAGAUCAGCAACGCUGCGGUGAAUACGUUCCCGGGCCUUGUACACACCGCCCGUCAAGUCACGAAAGUUGGUAACACCCGAAGCCGGUGGYCUA
RNAcentral lists this ribosomal RNA (1345 nucleotides) under Pseudarthrobacter psychrotolerans. RNAcentral describes it as "bacterial SSU rRNA". Lineage: Bacteria; Bacillati; Actinomycetota; Actinomycetes; Micrococcales; Micrococcaceae. The record is from RNAcentral.